This 442-nucleotide ribosomal RNA is filed under the name uncultured bacterium. Its description in RNAcentral is "bacterial SSU rRNA". It matches the Rfam family "Bacterial small subunit ribosomal RNA", at positions 27 to 469 of the family's 1533-position model. The record is from RNAcentral.
GAUUGAACGCUGGCGGCGUGCCUAACACAUGCAAGUCGAGCGGCAGCGCGGGAGCAAUCCUGGCGGCGAGCGGCGGACGGGUGAGUAACGCUUGGGAAUCUGCCUGUUAGUGGGGGACAACCCGGGGAAACGUCGGGCUAAUACCGCAUACGCACUACGGUGGAAAGCCGGGGACCGCAAGGCCUGGCGCUAACAGAUGAGCCCAAGUCGGAUUAGCUAGUUGGUAGGGUAACGGCCUACCAAGGCGACGAUCCGUAACUGGUCUGAGAGGACGACCAGUCACACCGGAACUGAGACACGGUCCGGACUCCUACGGGAGGCAGCAGUGGGGAAUAUUGGACAAUGGGGGAAACCCUCGAUCCAGCGACGCCGCGUGGGUGAAGAAGGCCUGCGGGUUNUAAAGCCCUUUCAGUGGGGAAGAAAAGCCUCGACCUAACACGUC